This 494-nucleotide ribosomal RNA is filed under the name uncultured bacterium. RNAcentral describes it as "bacterial SSU rRNA". It matches the Rfam family "Bacterial small subunit ribosomal RNA", at positions 903 to 1397 of the family's 1533-position model. The record is from RNAcentral.
AAAUGAAUUGACGGGGGCCCGCACAAGCAGAGGAGCAUGUGGCUUAAUUCGAUGCAACGCGAAGAACCUUACCUAGGCUUGACAUAUAGCUGCACGAUCUAUGAAAGUAGAUUUCCUUCGAGGGUGCUAUACAGGUGCUGCAUGGCUGUCGUCAGUUCGUGCCGUGAGGUGUUUGGUUAAGUCCACCAACGAACGCAACCCCUUUGAUUAGUUGCCAGCGGGUGAUGCCGGGAACUCUAGUCAUACUGCCUGUUUACGCAGGAGGAAGGUGGGGAUGACGUCAAGUCAGUAUGGCCCUUACGCCUAGGGCUGCACACGUGCUACAAUGGUCGAUUCAGAGGGUAGCCAAGCCGCGAGGCGGAGCCAAUCCCGCAAAGUCGGCCUCAGUUCGGAUUGGGGUCUGCAACCCGACCCCAUGAAGUCGGAUUUGCUAGUAACGGCGUAUCAGCUACGACGCCGUGAAUGCGUUCCCGGGCCUUGUACACACCGCCCGU